GAUGAACGCUGGCGGCGUGCCUAAUACAUGCAAGUCGAGCGAACGGACGAGAAGCUUGCUUCUCUGAUGUUAGCGGCGGACGGGUGAGUAACACGUGGAUAACCUACCUAUAAGACUGGGAUAACUUCGGGAAACCGGAGCUAAUACCGGCUGAUAUUUUGAACCGCAUGGUUCAAAAGUGAAAGACGGUCUUGCUGUCCCUUAUAGAUGGAUCCGCGCUGCAUUAGCUAGUUGGUAAGGUAACGGCUUACCAAGGCAACGAUGCAUAGCCGACCUGAGAGGGUGAUCGGCCACACUGGAACUGAGACACGGUCCAGACUCCUACGGGAGGCAGCAGUAGGGAAUCUUCCGCAAUGGGCGAAAGCCUGACGGAGCAACGCCGCGUGAGUGAUGAAGGUCUUCGGAUCGUAAAACUCUGUUAUUAGGGAAGAACAUAUGUGUAAGUAACUGUGCACAUCUUGACGGUACCUAAUCAGAAAGCCACGGCUAACUACGUG
RNAcentral lists this ribosomal RNA (497 nucleotides) under uncultured bacterium. RNAcentral describes it as "partial 16S ribosomal RNA". It matches the Rfam family "Bacterial small subunit ribosomal RNA", at positions 28 to 507 of the family's 1533-position model. The record is from RNAcentral.